RNAcentral lists this ribosomal RNA (255 nucleotides) under uncultured bacterium. RNAcentral describes it as "partial 16S ribosomal RNA". It matches the Rfam family "Bacterial small subunit ribosomal RNA", at positions 524 to 776 of the family's 1533-position model. The record is from RNAcentral.
UACGAAGGGGGCUAGCGUUGCUCGGAAUCGACUGGGCGUAAAGCGCACGUAGGCGGCUUUUAAGUCAGAGGUGAAAUCCUGGAGCUCAACUCCAGAACUGCCUUUGAUACUGAGAAGCUUGAAGUCCGGGAGAUGGUGAGUGGAACUGCGAGUGUAGAGGUGAAAUUCGUAGAUAUUCGCAAGAACACCAGUGGCGAAGGCGGCUCACUGGCCCGGUACUGACGCUGAGGUGCGAAAGCGUGGGGAGCAAACAGG